GCCCGGGUGGCGGAACAGGUAGACGUAGCGGCCUCAGAAGCCGUGGGCCGUGCGGCCUUGAGGGUUCGAGUCCCUCCCCGGGUA
Molecule: transfer RNA, 84 nt
Filed under: Alphaproteobacteria bacterium
Lineage: Bacteria; Pseudomonadati; Pseudomonadota; Alphaproteobacteria
Description: tRNA-Leu
Rfam family: tRNA
About the family: Transfer RNA (tRNA) molecules are approximately 80 nucleotides in length.
Source: RNAcentral